This 253-nucleotide ribosomal RNA is filed under the name uncultured bacterium. Its description in RNAcentral is "partial 16S ribosomal RNA". It matches the Rfam family "Bacterial small subunit ribosomal RNA", at positions 524 to 776 of the family's 1533-position model. The record is from RNAcentral.
UACGAGAGGCCCAAACGUUAUUCGGAAUUACUGGGCUUAAAGGGUUCGUAGGCGGCCUUGUAAGUGGGGUGUGAAAUCCCUCGGCUCAACCGAGGAAUAGCGCUCCAAACUGCAAGGCUUGAGGGAGACAGGGGUAAGCGGAACUGAUGGUGGAGCGGUGAAAUGCGUUGAUAUCAUCAGGAACACCGGUGGCGAAAGCGGCUUACUGGGUCUCUUCUGACGCUGAGGAACGAAAGCUAGGGUAGCGAACGGG